AGAGUUUGAUCCUGGCUCAGGAUGAACGCUGGCGGCGUGCUUAACACAUGCAAGUCGAACGAUCCUUCGGGAUAGUGGCGGACGGGUGAGUAACGCGUGGGAAUCUGCCCUCAGGAGGGGGAUAACGGCUGGAAACGGCCGCUAAUACCCCAUAUGCCGAGAGGUGAAAUGAAUUUCGCCUGAGGAUGAGCCCGCGUCUGAUUAGCUAGUUGGUGGGGUAAAGGCCUACCAAGGCAACGAUCAGUAGCUGGUCUGAGAGGAUGAUCAGCCACACUGGGACUGAGACACGGCCCAGACUCCUACGGGAGGCAGCAGUGGGGAAUUUUCCGCAAUGGGCGAAAGCCUGACGGAGCAACGCCGCGUGAGGGAUGAAGGCCUCUGGGCUGUAAACCUCUUUUCUCAAGGAAGAAGACCUGACGGUACUUGAGGAAUAAGCCACGGCUAAUUCCGUCCCAGCAGCCGCGGUAAUACGGGAGUGGCAAGCGUUAUCCGGAAUUAUUGGGCGUAAAGCGUCCGCAGGCGGCCUUGUAAGUCUGUUGUUAAAGCGUGGAGCUCAACUCCAUUUAAGCAAUGGAGACUACAAGGCUGGAGUGUGGUAGGGGCAGAGGGAAUUCCCGGUGUAGCGGUGAAAUGCGUAGAUAUCGGGAAGAACACCAGUGGCGAAGGCGCUCUGCUGGGCCAUAACUGACGCUCAUGGACGAAAGCCAGGGGAGCGAAAGGGAUUAGAUACCCCUGUAGUCCUGGCCGUAAACGAUGAACACUAGGUGUCGGGGGAAUCGACCCCCUCGGUGUCGUAGCCAACGCGUUAAGUGUUCCGCCUGGGGAGUACGCACGCAAGUGUGAAACUCAAAGGAAUUGACGGGGGCCCGCACAAGCGGUGGAGUAUGUGGUUUAAUUCGAUGCAACGCGAAGAACCUUACCAGGGUUUGACAUCCUGCGAACCCCUGAGAAAUCGGGGGGUGCCUUCGGGAGCGCAGAGACAGGUGGUGCAUGGCUGUCGUCAGCUCGUGUCGUGAGAUGUUGGGUUAAGUCCCGCAACGAGCGCAACUCACGUCUUUAGUUGCCAGCAUUCAGUUGGGCACUCUAGAGAGACCGCCGGUGAUAAACCGGAGGAAGGUGUGGAUGACGUCAAGUCAUCAUGCCCCUUACAUCCUGGGCUACACACGUACUACAAUGCUACGGACAAAGGGCAGCAAGCUCGCGAGAGUUAGCAAAUCCCAUAAACCGUGGCUCAGUUCAGAUCGUAGGCUGCAACUCGCCUACGUGAAGGAGGAACCGCUAGUAAUCGCAGGUCAGCAUACUGCGGUGAAUACGUUCCCGGGCC
RNAcentral lists this ribosomal RNA (1324 nucleotides) under metagenome. RNAcentral describes it as "bacterial SSU rRNA". It matches the Rfam family "Bacterial small subunit ribosomal RNA", at positions 8 to 1380 of the family's 1533-position model. The record is from RNAcentral.